This is a long non-coding RNA of Spinacia oleracea (spinach), 610 nucleotides long. RefSeq lists it as uncharacterized. The transcript has 2 exons. The record is from RefSeq and is a predicted model, not a curated record. NCBI's taxonomy places the organism in Eukaryota, Viridiplantae, Streptophyta, Magnoliopsida, Caryophyllales, Amaranthaceae.
UCCCUAUGUAUUAAAUCUAUCCACCCCAACUGAACUUCGUAUUUAUUAAAUCUAUCCACCCCAAUUAGAAACCCUUGUUCAUUCCGCCCCCAAAUCACAAAAAUUAUAAUUAGAAAAAAAGACCUUCUCCACUCUAUAUCAAGCAUUAUACUUAUCGAUUUUCUCCCAGUUUCUAUCCCAAUGGAUCCAAUAUCUAAAACCCCUCUAAAAUUUCAAUUACUAGUUACUUUCGUCGGCGGCCAGCCGCGUUAUUGGAUUGUUUCAUUCUUUUCUGUUUCUCUCUCCUCUCUCCUCUUUCAAUUGAAGUUGAUAUUGUAAUUCAUCAAAUGUUGGGAGGACCGUCAAUUGUUGACCUUGAUUUUCACUGGUACAUGAUGAACUACAUGGUGUAGGAGGAAGAAUGUUAUGAUUAUUGAAAUGACAUUCUUAGUGGAGGUUUAUACUCACAAGUUGGUGUUUGAUUUUCUUAGUGAUCGUAUAUAAGUUGAAUAUCUAGGUGAAUUGUCCAUCAUAGUUUGGCCUUAUUUUGGUGAAACUUUGUUCGCAAUAUCGUAAAACAUUGUAAAUUAACUAUAUUAUUUUUUAAAUAAAAAUAUAAUUUUUAUUAUCA